AUGUUCUAUGUGACUAAUUUUUAUUGUUGUAUGGUACAGGUUAAGAAAUCAAUGGAGGAUGCUACCUUUGUGGCCUUUUGCCAUGUUAUUGCAGACAUGUUCAGUGGCAUUAGUAAGUUUAGCCUCCUGCUUCAGAGGAAUGACAUCAUCUUACCACAGGCAGUUUGUGGCCUUGAAAAACUGCUGGUGACCACAGAGGCAAUGGCUGUGAGACCCAAGCCUGGGGGAAGACUGUCAGAGUUCCUGGCUGACCUGAGGCUGCAGAGGAGGAGGCAGCAAGAAAAGGGUGAAAUGGCAAUCUACAAAUUCCGGACAAUAACACUCAAAGGACAGGCAUCAGAGCUGGCAGGAGAUAGUGUUGGUGGCACUAAACUUGAAAAAGUAAUGGAUGUAACGAUCAUAUCCACUGUAAAACAUCUGAAAGCAAGAUUCAGUAGCCUCCUAGGGGAGAGUGCUUCUGGGUCUGACACAGCCAAGGCUGUCAAAUGUUUCAACAUUUUCAAUCACGAUAGCUGGCCAGAGAACCAAGAAAACUUAGUAGACCAUGGUGCUGAUGACCUUGCAUUUCUCUUGGAUCACUUCUCCACAGUUCUGAGAAGAAAUGGUGUAAACACUGACCUUGCAAAAGAAGAGUUUGUGGGCUUAAAGCUAUUAAUUGCAAGGAUAUUCAAAGACAAGACCUACCUCAGCCUUUGGGAGCUCAUGUUGACCAGAGAGCCCUAUUGCUCACAGUACAAGGUCAGUUUUUGUUAAUGUUCUUUCUUAAGAUUGUGUCAGUUUUGCUAUCCAACACACAUCGCUUAAAUAAAUCUCUUGAAUGUAUUUUUUUCCAGAACAUCCUGCAUCUUGUACACAUUAUGCUGGUCCUCCCUGUCUCAGCUGCAGUUUGUGAAAGAGGAUUCUCUGCACAGAAGAGGAUCAAAUCAGACACUAGGGCAUCCCUCCAUUCAGACACAGUUGAAGAUCUGAUAAGAAUCAGUGUAGAGGGACCAAGUCUGGAAGAUUUUGACGCUAGAGAGAGUGUGGGAAGCUGGUUUAGCCAAGGCCAAAGAUCAAGAAGGCCAAACUUCCUUAGUUGGCCAUCAGAGGGGCAUGUGACUGCAAUUGAGGUCCAUAGUCCAUAAGACCUGGAGCCAUGAGAUGUGUUUGAAGUUUCAGUUUAAAACACUUAAUUUAGAUUUUCUUUUUAUUUCACUUAUCUUCUGAUGUUUUAAGUUUAAAUCGCAGCACAGUGAAGCUGCAAUAAUUAUUCAAAUAAAGAACUUUAUGUUGACCAGAUUCUUAGUUCAUCAUUUACAAGUCAAUAUUGCCUAUAUGGACAGCUAUUUAAAAAACGUUAACCUGUAAAACUGCAGUGUUGAAUGCGAUAUGGUUGACAAUUUGGGUGCACCUAACUUUUGUGCUGGUGCACCUAAGAAAAAAAGUUAGGUGCACCAGUGCAACCAGUGAAAAAUGUUAGUUUAGAGCCCUGUGGUAGGUUCAGUGGCAAUUUGGUUUGACUGGGUCGCAUUAAUAUCAACAGUGUGAGCAGGGCGAACUGAAUAAGCGUCAGUCUGCAUGGUAUUUGAUUCAACAUUACCCAUCGCACAUUGCACCACGGUGCGUCAACACAUCAUCAACAGCAUCUUUCAAAAUCAUUAAAUCAACCAUACCACUGUCCUCUGAAUCAAGCAACUGCUUACUGUACAUGAACGCGUUGAUGUAUUCGAAACAUCCCUCCUGGUCUCCCUCCUCAAGCUCGGACUGUUCUUUGCCCGACACUGGACCCACGGUCUUGGUAAGUUGGUAGAGCUCUUCUCCUGACAAGGCGAGUAGACUCUUCCUAAUGUCCCACACUAGGUGCUUCCUUCCACUGUCAGCCAUAGUUGCUCCUCUCCUACCUCACGAUAGGUUAUACAGUUCGGUAAUGCAGUCUCUGUUCUGGGACAGGGUUCUCCACUCGUUUCACGUUCACAGCAGGCCUCCACACACGUCAGCGUCUGCGUUUGUCAUUGGUCCCAGAUGUCAUUAGGAUGGAUCAGCGUCCGGCCAGAAGGUGGCGCCGAUCCCGGACGAGCCCCCAAGAAUCUGUAACGGGUCCCAGGUGGGAUCGCCGUGGACAGAUUAUAGAUAACUGAAACAAAGAGAAAAGAAUGCUGACACGGGAGACGUUACUUGUCUUUUCAGAUCCUCAUUAGUUAUAUUUAUUCAUUUAACUUCUCAAUUUACUGAAGGUUACCGUUUAUCUUCACAUUGUCCAUGCAUUUUAAACUCAGCAUCAUAUUACUCCAUAUGUUGUCUAAUUAGACAUAUUUUCCAUGUUCUUAAAACAAACCAAAAUACACAAAAAAUACUCUUCAAUUCAAAACACACCUUUUCUCACAGUGUUGUUCUUUCAUCUCUCUGAUACAAUAAACAGUUUGUACAAGGUGCAUCUUUAAUGCUCUUCAAACCCAAUAGGUUUUACUGAACUAGUAUUUUUAACAGAACCUACCUUGUAGGCUAUAUCAAACAUUUUCUUAUUACUGAACUUCAAAUAACUUUUCUUAACCCGUUUUUAACAGUAUCUAUAAAGUGCUUUACAACAAUCAAUAAACAUUUGAAUACUUUACAAAACGUCAAGAAGUGAGCCACGUGUGGCGUUAUUACAAUAAAACAAAAAGGUAGAGACGAGCGUGGUUGGUACUAGCUUAAAGCUACUAGCCUAACGGUAAAACUUCCAACGGCGCCGUCAUUACAAAUCUCUCGGCGAGCGUCGGACCUUACUAGCUAGUAGCUUAAAGCUACUAGCUUAACGGUAAAACUUCCAACGGCGCCGCAAUUACAAAUCUCUCGGCGAGCGUCGGACCUUACUAGUAGCUACACAUGUACUCAUUUUAACACUCAUACUUUACUAAAACAUUUCACUACACAUUAUCCAAUCACUAACAUCAACUUGUUUUACAUUUUAAACACAUAACCCACCUGAAACAAAGAGAAAAGAAUGCUGACACGGGAGACGUGAUUUGUCUUUUCAGAUCCUCAUUAGUUAUGAGGAUCUCACGGGGAUUCAGGCAAACCACAAUAUUACUGUGCCUCCUACUGGCAGGAUAGUGCACUUGCAUUGUGAAAAUGUAAAACUAUAAAAGAUAUUGCUCAUACAAAAUAAGAUCAAUUUAGUAGGAAAUAUUGUGUCUUAAUAAUAUAAAAUGGUGUAGUAUAUAAAAACGUAAUAUACACAAAUGUGUAUAUAUUGUAGGGA
Long non-coding RNA from Gadus morhua (Atlantic cod), 3220 nucleotides. The record is from Ensembl. NCBI's taxonomy places the organism in Eukaryota, Metazoa, Chordata, Actinopteri, Gadiformes, Gadidae.